AGUGAACGCUGGCGGUAGGCCUAACACAUGCAAGUCGAACGGCAGCACAGAGGAGCUUGCUCCUUGGGUGGCGAGUGGCGGACGGAUGAGGAAUACAUCGGAAUCUACUCUGUCGUGGGGGAUAACGUAGGGAACCUUACGCUAAUACCGCAUACGACCUACGGGUGAAAGCAGGGGACCUUCGGGCCUUGCGCGAUUGAAUGAGCCGAUGUCGGAUUAGCUAGUUGGCGGGGUAAAGGCCCACCAAGGCGACGAUCCGUAGCUGGUCUGAGAGGAUGAUCAGCCACACUGGAACUGAGACACGGUCCAGACUCCUACGGGAGGCAGCAGUGGGGAAUAUUGGACAAUGGGCGCAAGCCUGAUCCAGCCAUACCGCGUGGGUGAAGAAGGCCUUCGGGUUGUAAAGCCCUUUUGUUGGGAAAGAAAUCCAGCUGGCUAAUACCCGGUUGGGAUGACGGUACCCAAAGAAUAAGCACCGGCUAACUUCGUGCCAGCCGCCGCAGUAA
Molecule: ribosomal RNA, 506 nt
Filed under: uncultured bacterium
Lineage: Bacteria
Description: partial 16S ribosomal RNA
Rfam family: Bacterial small subunit ribosomal RNA
Source: RNAcentral